UGCAUUAGUAAAGUUACGGAUCAACCUCUCCAAAAAGUUCACUACCAACCCAAUUUUCAUUAACUAGUGAACUGAAGCUUUCGUGUGAAAGCCAUCCGCUAAAAACUCUGAACGGACGAGAAGAAACUGAAUCUUCUUUCUUACCAAAACUGAUAGAUAAUGGCCUAUGAUCAGACUUUUUCUUCUGAAUAUGAUACAUUGUCAUACACAGGAAGGUCAAUUCCCAUUGAUAGUUACAAAGAGCUCGAUCCAGCCAUUUGAAGAUAAAACCUCUAUUUCAUGUGAAUUUAGGUCCUUUAUAGCCAAGGUUCUUCAAAUUACAUUCUCGAAUAACCUGUUGGAAUAACAGGCAUCCUACUACAGUCUUCCUUGAACCCUCUUUUUUCUCAUCUACACUCAGCAUUGCGCAAAAAUCCCCGACUAUCAACCACGGAUUUUGUAUGGUUUGCACAAUAUGGUCCAAGCCUUGCCAAAGGGCUCCCUUCUUGGUUUGUUGUGGACUCCCAUAAAUCGCAGUAAAAAAUAGACAAUCAGCCAAAUUGGGAAAACAGACUUUCAUGUGAAUAAAUUGGGUAUGAUUGAGAAUCACCUCCACUUGAAUAUUCUCCUUCCAAAGUACUCAAAUUCCCCCAAAAAAUCCUUUCGCUUUAAUUCUAUAGGAAAACGGUAAACCAAUUUUCCCAAUCACCUUAUCUGCCUUGGCACCACUCAGCCGAGUCUUUACCAUAACCACAAUUCCAAGAUCAAAAUCCUUCAAUUAUUCUUUCAAAAAUCGAUGAAAAUUUAGAUGCCCAGCACCUUCACAGUUCCAAAUGAAUAUAUUUGUUUUCAUCAUAAAAGAAAACAGAGGAUAAAGGCUAACCUGCAAUUAGGAGUGACGGUCCAGGGGUAUCAUCCAUAUCAGUAGCCCCUUCUCCAUCACCUUGAUCCAAGGGAUCCGAACUACCAUCUCUAGGGUGAAUUUCGAACUGGGAGUUGUUACCCCUUAAUGAAACUCCAAUCUAUCAACAACUCCUUUGAUGGCAUGUUGUACCAGGAUUGACUCGUCUUCUUCAGGCAAAUCUUGAUUUUCGCUUCCAUUCUCAGGUCGUAAAGGUUCUUUAAAAAAUAACGUUUUUAAUUCUGGUGGUAGAGAGGAUGAGGACACUAGGUUUUGAAUAAUCAUAUUAGAUUUUGAAGUUUCCCGAUUCUCAACAAUUAACAUUGGGG
RNAcentral lists this long non-coding RNA (1209 nucleotides) under Gossypium barbadense (sea-island cotton). RNAcentral describes it as "long non-coding RNA (GBAR_LNC006670)". The record is from RNAcentral. Lineage: Eukaryota; Viridiplantae; Streptophyta; Magnoliopsida; Malvales; Malvaceae.